Molecule: ribosomal RNA, 434 nt
Filed under: Saldula saltatoria (common shorebug)
Lineage: Eukaryota; Metazoa; Arthropoda; Insecta; Hemiptera; Saldidae
Description: partial 16S ribosomal RNA
Source: RNAcentral
GUCCUUUUGAUUUUUAUAUAAGGUCGGGCCUGCCCAAUGAUUUAUUUAAUGGCCGCAGUAUACUAACUGUGCAAAGGUAGCAUAAUCAUUUGUCUUUUAAUUGAAGGCUGGUAUGAAUGGUUUGACGAGAAAUAUUCUUUCUUAUAUUUAUUUUUUUGAAUUUAAUUUUUAAGUUAAAAAGCUUAAAUUUUUUUGUAGGACGAGAAGACCCUAUAGAGCUUUAUAAAAAUUAUUUUUUUUUAUUUUUUGUUUAUUAAAAUUUAAUAUAUUAAUUUUUAUUCCGUUGGGGUGACGUGAAAAAUAUUUUAACUUUUUAUUUUUAUUUCAUUAAUUAAUGUAUUUUUGAUCCAGAAUUUCUGAUUAUAAGAUUAAGCUACCUUAGGGAUAACAGCGUAAUUCUUUUGGAGAGUUGUUAUCGAUAAAAGAGUUUGCGA